CAAGUAGCUGGGACUGCAGGUGCACACCACCACGCCCAGCUAAUUUUUGUAUUUUUGGUAGAGAUGGGGUUUCACCAUGUUGGCCAGGCUGGUCUCGAACUCCUGACCUCAGGUGAUCCACCCGCCUCAGCCUCCUAAAGUGCUGGGAUUACAGGCAUGAGCCACCAUGCCUGGCUUGUUUUUAUUUUAUUUUUUCAAUCCUCUGGACACUUGUUUUUCAGGGUCUGCCGUGGGUGUCUGCUGGUGGCUCGCUGUUAUAGGUCCAAUUGUGUCCCUCAGAAUGUACAUACUGAAGUCCUAACCCCCAGUACUUCAGAGUCUGACCUUAUUUUAUGCUUUUAAUUGACAAAUAAUAAUUGAACAUAUUCACGGGGUCGGGGGUACCCGUUAGGAACCAGGCUGUAAGGGGUGAGCAGCCUGUGGGUGAGCAAGUGAGGCUUCAUCUGUAUUGACAGCCACGCCCCAUCUUUUGCAUUACUGCCUGAGCUCUGCCUCCUGCCAGCCCAUCAAUCUAGUUGCAGGAAAACAAGCUCAGGGCUCCCACUGUUUCUACAUUAUGGUGAGUUGUAUAAUUAUUUCAUUAUAUGUCAUCACAAUGUAAUAAUAGUAGAAAUAAAGUGCACAAUAAAUGGAAUGUACUUGAAUCAUCCUGAAGCCAUCCACCACCACCCCAUCCAUGGAAAAAAUGUCUUCCAUGAAACCAGUCCCUGCUGCCAAAAAGAUUGGGGAACUGUGGUGUAUAGUCAUCAGAUCAGGGUAAUCAGCAUAUCUGUCAGCUCAAACAUGUAUUAUUUCUUUGUGUUGGGAAUGUUCGCUAUUCUCCUUCUAGCUGUUUGAAAGUACAGAGCAUUGUUAGCGAUAGUCACCCUAUAGUACUAUGGGACAAAAGAACUUAUUCCUCCUAUCUAGCUGUGAUUUUGAAUCCUUUAAUAAAUCUCUCCCUAAUCCUCUUUUCCCCAUUCUUCUCAGCCCUGAGUAUCCUUUGUUCUACUUUUUACAUCUAUGCGAUCAACCUUUUUAAAGCUUCCAUACAUGAGUAUGAACACGCCAUGUAAAAAGGGGAA
RNAcentral lists this long non-coding RNA (1064 nucleotides) under Homo sapiens (human). Its description in RNAcentral is "non-protein coding lnc-PSMG4-14:1". Lineage: Eukaryota; Metazoa; Chordata; Mammalia; Primates; Hominidae. The record is from RNAcentral.